UUCCCAGGAUGAACGGACGAGAGGCUUGUGUGAGUCGGAGAUACAUACAGUAUAUGGUGUUGGAAUUGUUCUGUUGUUGAUGUGUUCAGGUCAGAAUGAAGUUUUAGAAGAGCGGCAGUCUCCGUGUGACUGUGGCAUCAAUGCAGGCGUGCUUGCUCUGGUGCGCAUGCGUUAAUCACUCAAAAAAAUCGAACGUGAUUAAUGACAUAAAUUAGUUACCGCCGUUAAGACGUUAUUUUUGACAGCCCUAAACUAACAAAACACAGUUGUGUGGAGCUGGUUGACAAGAAAAUAUGAAUUAAAGCUGACGUCAUUGUUUCAGUGACGCCAUUGAUUGUACAAGAGCAAUGAUGCUAUUGCUCAUUUUGAUGGACACCGUGUAUAUGCCUGUUACAGUUCAUCUAUUUGUGUGUGUGUGUGUUGUGGAUGUCCAAAUAUUGGUUGAUAAUGUGCAUGGUGAGGUGUUUAUAUCAUAUCCAUCAUGAUGCAGGUUGAGGUCACAGCAGUAGAGAGAUGGCACGGCUAUUGCUCAGCUGAGACGCCAUUAGUAAUGCUCUUUGCCCAUAGAGGUGUCACAUGCUAAAUGACCCUGAAUGGGGGUUGCAGAGAUACAAUGGUCCUGGUGUCGAUACCCAGCCCAGCCCCCACACCACCCCCUUAAAGUCAGCACCAACAGACAUUUUAGGGUGGGUACAGCAUGGACCCCAUAGUGCUCCUUGUAGGUUCCUCAAAUGUGAGAUGUGCUGUUAAAAGUGUCCCGUUUUUUUCUUAUCCCAUUGGGCCAUAUGAGCGAGCAUGAAUGGAAUUCACCAGGCUCUGCCCAGGUGGGUCCAGACUUGCCUCUGCUCGUCUUGGAUGGCUCUCUAUAAUCUGAGGAAUGUGGAUGAGGGAUGCCUGGCCUGCCCAUGAUGGGCCAGAGAGAUGGACAAUGUCUGCUUGAAAGUCUGCCAUGCCGCUCCCCCCCCCACUCUCCAAUCCACUUUGGUUAACCACCUUCUUCUUCUUCUUGGUGUGGGACCUCAGGGAUCAAGCGCAGCACGCCGUCCCACCGGGCCGACACGUGUCUUGGCACUAAAGUGCAGCGCUGCAGGCAAUCUUGAAUUGAACCCAUAUUGCUGAGUCACUUGACAGUGAAAAGCCCAGCAAAGAGAAGCAGAGCGAGAUGAAGGAGAAAAGAGCUCUCGGCAGGUGGUGGGCACCGGCGCUGCUUCAGCCCGCCGACUCCUUUCAGCUGGCACACAACUGCUCGGCUGCCACUGAGGCCCUGCUUUCCAUCAGAAUAUUCCCCCCGUCUCUUCCCCCCUCUUGAAACCAUAAAUGAGGAGAACAGGCUUGGGCGGGAAUAAUAGGAUCUUUUCUUUGCGCCUCUGCCAUGUGUGAGGACAGGAACAAUAGGCCGGAGCGGGAGGGGAAAUGAUUCAAAGUGAGAGUUUCACCUGCUCCCUUCCAAGCCGGGCCCUGCUCCCUUUCACAGCAUGCUAAUGCCAGUUCAUCUUCUACACUGCACUACUGUAAGCUCACUCUCUCUCACACACACACACACACACACACGCACACACACUUAGCUCUUAGAUCCUUUUUUCUCUUUGUGAUGGACAGUUUAGAUGAUUGUGACUACAGACCUUCAUUUUGGUAAUCACACUCAUUAUCAUCAUUCAGCCAUUUUCAGAGCUAAGAAUAAGUGGAUGACAGGCUUUGUGCUGCAGUGUGCCAGUUGGGAUGUGUUUUUUGUUUUUUUUUUUGUUUCUUCGCUCACACUAACAGUUGCUAUUUUUCCCCUUGAGUACACAGAAACUUUUCAGGUAACUUUUUCUGUAAACAUCUAGCGAUAGAACCAUGUCAUUUCUCACAAUAACUGGAAAGCGGAUGUUUUAUUUAUUUAGUAUCAUGUUCAGUUUAAAAUGUAUUUUUUAUAUUUUUCUAAAUUAUUUUAGUCCAGGGUGUACCCCGCCUGUCGCCCGAAGUCAGCUGGGAUAGGCUCCAGCAUGGCCCCGUGACCUGAAAGAGGAGAAGUAGCAUAGAAAAUGGAUGUAUGGAUAAUAUAAUUUUAAAAAGGUACAUAUUAUGAGCAUAUCAUUAUUAUGAAUGAUAAUGUUUGACAUUCCUGCCCAAACAAAAUAAACACAAAUAUUUUAAUGUAUUACAAUAAUUCAGUUUUGUCAAAUAGUGGUGGGUAGGAUGGGGACCAAGAGAGCCAGUGGGGAUUGUUCUUCUAAAGUUUCUUCAAGGUUAGCAGGUUUAUUCAUGCUUGAACAAAUUGGUGCCAGCAACUUAUACAGUGGUUUGUACAGUUCAUUCAAGUUAUAUUAUUUCAAAUUGGGAGGGCACGGAAAAAUGUCUGUCCCCCUGGACGGGGCAUGACAGAAUAAUCUAGAACCAGUGCAAUAGUGUAUUUUUUAUGAUAAUGCUUGUUCUGUAUGGAUAAUACAUUCAUGGAGUACACUAUUGCACACUACAGUUGUGCUGUGCAUUUUUGCAUGCAUAAAUGAUAGUUAACACAUGGAAAUCAUUUCAACACGUCACUUUCUCAUUCAGAAUCCCGCAAUAUUCAUCACUCUCCAAUGAAAAUAGCUAUCUCCAAUUUUAUUUGACAAAUAAGGUGGCAUAUAAGGUGGCAUAAAUACUCACGACAUUUUGAAAUACAUGCUUUUUACAGGACAGCACAAGAAUGCCAACUCAGUGAGCAUCUAUAUCUAUCUAUCUGUCUAUCUAUCUAUCUAUCUAUCUAUCUAUCUGUCUAUCUGUCUAUCUAUCUAUCUAUCUGUCUGUCUGUCUGUCUGUCUGUCUGUCUGUCUGUCUGUCUGUCUAUCUAUCUAUCUAUCUAUCUAUCUAACUAUCUAUCUAUCUAACUAUCUAUCUAUCUAUCUAUCUAACUAUCUAUCUAACUAUCUAUCUAUCUGUGUGUCUAUCUGUGUGUCUGUCUGUCUGUCUGUCUGUCUGUCUGUCUGUCCGUCUGUCUAUAGAAUCCACACGAGUGCCCCCCCUUUCAUUGGCCUUUUGGAUAUGUGUGUGUUUUUUUUUUUUGUAACGCCAUCACAGAAGGGCACCAGUGAUGGUAAAAAUGAAAAGUGUGAUUAUAACCAUAGAAGUGGAAUUGUAACUUUUCGCCACAUGGAAAACGUCUCUUUCCUGGCUGCUCAGUGCAAUACGGAGACUAAGUUGUCUUUCAUCUUCUGGAGAGACUCAGCUCCGAGGCACCCAUCAUAAUCUCCCGUGCAUGUUCAUCACGCAUCAUCAAUAUACAGUACACUUUAUUGUUUUGAACUUUUCCUAUGCUCCAGGUAACAGCUUAAAGCGUAUAAAUCUCCUUCUCUGCCUCUGUAGCACCAUCAAGAAGGGGAGAGUAGGUUUUUUUGUUUUAUUAUGCAGAGGUUAUCUUCUUUUUAUGCUUGUAUGACAGCGUAAAGAAUGUUAAAAUGUUGCUUGAUAAAGCUUAUAAAGGAUUUACAAUGGUGACAGUUUGACCUUGGAAUGGAUUAUUUGGACAUCCCUUACUUCGAAUGGGAAAACCUGUUUCAGAAUGUGAACAAAUCAGAAGUUGUCCAGCAUCCUGGACUGCGUUCAAGCUUCAAAGUUCCACGCCAAUGUGAAAAGAAGUCACUAAUGAGUCAUUAUUGUUAAUUGCGUCUCCGAGGCAAUUCAAUUAGCAGGAGUGUUACAUUAAAGUUCAAAUUUACAACACACGUCAAAGUGGUGGGCACUACUAAGUGUCCUCUAGAUGUUAUUGUUUGUCAUUCACCUGAGCUCCACAGUCACACACAAAUAAAGACGUCAAUAAAAUGUAGGCAAAUAUGUUUGUCUCUUGUGGAAUAAUCAUCCUAAAUUCAUUGGCUGCUCUAAUCUGAUCCCCUUUGCACUAAUUUGUUUGCAUCUCCGUGUUUACCGUGUGUGUGUGUGUGUGUGGUGGUUAUAGCUUUCAAUUUUCCCCGGUGCUGAGUGAAUUAAAAGGUGCCCCCUAAUUUAUCAUUCACAGCCUCACUUUAAUUGUUAAUCCGAGUUUGUAUGUACUCCCACUGCUAUGCAUCUACGUGUGCAAAGACUGCUAUUCAAUUACUGCUGCUGUAAUAGCUCAUUUAAUAAUGUCACUUAUUAAGUGGGGGGUGUUCAACGCAGCAGCAAGGUAUGCAAAUGCGUUCUUUCAAAAUGACAUGCGCAAACAUAAAUUAAACUCUUGUUUGGUGGCCUAAAUGCUGCAUUCGGAUUCCAUUUCAGUGUUAGAUAUUUGAAAAAGACAAUUGUUGGCGACAAAGUGCUUAUAUUAUAAUGGGAGCCAUUUCUCCAUGUACUUUUUCUCCAUCAUUAAUGAUGUGUGGACACUCUUGCUAAGGAUUACUGGGUCGAUAACCACAAAGUAUCCUCCACUUGUUUAUAAUACUGCUGACCGGUAAUAAGGUCAGCUAAAAUUUGUUAGAACUGUCUUCAGAAUGCCAUAUGAGAAAAAGUGAUGAAAGAGGCAUCAUUUUUGCCCAUGUUUGGCUCUCAAGUAAGAGUAUGAAAAAGUAUUAGACACUAUUUCAGAUUUAGAGUGCUCUUUCUUGUAAAUAAGUUUGUAAAUACAUGUCCCAUUAUUAUUUAUUGACAGAUUAGAAAAAAAUAUAUUUCAAAGGUGACUUUGAAAGGAACAACUACAUUUACGCUUUCUUCAUUGUCAUGUCUUUCUUUCUCUUGUCUUUAUCUUUUACAAACCUGAGAGUCCCUCAGGCAGUCUUUUCAUGUCCUAAUGUUUGUAAGUGUAGUUUCUCAAAGAUAUGUCGAGAGAGCGGCCAACACCCUUUUGUUUUUGUCUUGAAGCCACCAGAGUGCAUUGUGGGAAAGUGGUCAUUGGCAGCCUCACCCCUGGAAGGACUGUUUGCACAGCCCUUCAUGAGCUUAUGUCCAAAGGUGGCACAAAUCUCAGCUUGUCAUUCAUUGACAUAACAAUGCAACAAUCCAGGCAUGUUUUAAAAACCUUUUUUUAAACAUUUUAACCCCAGAAAUGUACUGAUUUUUUUGGUCGAUUACAAUACAGUACUUCCUUUAAAGUUUACUACUACUAGUAGUACUACUACUACUACUACUAAUAACUAGGGCUGUCAAAAUAACGGUAACUCAUUUAUUUAAUUACGUAAAAAUGUUUAGCGUAAUUAACGCAUGCGCACCAUGUUAAGCCACCCCUCUCUGUUGUGACGGGACACAAUAGUGUCCCGUUUAUUAUGCGUGUAUGUGUAGUCUAAAUAAACAAAGACAAAAAAAAAAAGUAAGUGGAUAUUGUUAUCACUGACUAUCGUAACUCAUACUGCGAAAGUACAUUUUUCUGCAUUUUAGUAUGCUCGGAAAUCCCGGAAAAUGCCUUUACGCUCAAAACACUGAAUUGAACUUAAAGAAUUCUGUGAUGUCUUUGAACUCAACCCAUCAUGGCUCAUAAUAACACGGUUUAAAUGUUCUGUUACUAUUGAAGAGACUGAUGUUUUAGAUUUUCAUGUCUUCUAUCUUUUAGCACCAUUUCAAUUUCCAGUUCAUAGAUGCAAAUAUAUAAAAUAGUGUCCUGUCAUUUAUCUUUUUUGUUCAAAAAAUACAGUAAAAAUACACAUACAGUGUUCCCUCGCUCUAUCACGGUUUACCUUUGGCAGAUUCGCUGUUUCGCUGAUUUUUUUUUUUACUACAACAUUUGAACGCUGUUACAGGCCGAGCCUGGCCCUUUAAGAAGAACUGCAUUGGGGGAAGUUGGGUGUCUCUCUCGUCUGUCUGCACCGCCCAUUGUUUCCUGCAUGCUGCUUGGUUGUAAACCAUUGCCAAUCAAUCUCCUUCGUGCCGCCCUGCGUGUUUCCUGUGUCAUCACUAGCUUGCUUGCUUGCUAGCUUGUAAAUGAAUCUUAGGUUCAAAGGACUGCAGCAAUAUGUUUUAACCAGCAUACAAAAAUGCUCCAGUACAGCGGAACGCCGCCAGGACGAAAAGGCACGGUUGCAGGAGAAAAAUACGUGUGAGGGACUUAAUUAUUUCUUGUAUCCUACCUGUGGGUAGAUCAUUAAAAUUCAGGUUUGAACUUCUUUGUGAAUGUUUAAACAAGAGAGACAUGUGAGACAAUGUUAUUACCUGUCUGAGAAAAGUGUAUAAAGUGUAAGGUGAGGGCCUUUACAGCCUUAAAACAUAUAUAAUCAUUGUAAAAAAAAAUAAUUUGGGUGCUUCGUGGAUUUCACUUAUUGCAGGCUACUUUGGGAACCGAAUCCCUCGUUGCACAUAUUUUGUUCUUGCACUUAUUUUGUUACUAUUAUUUUUGCAAAAUAUGCUAUCUGUUAUUUGUAUAAUAUAUUCAUAUAUUGUUAUUUUAAUGUUUUCAUUAUUAUAAUUAUCUCUCUUCUCUGAUAGAAAUCACAUGGUAUUACUGCCUGACAGUGAGAUCUAUCAAUCUGAUCUCUUUUGUGCAUUUUGAUGCUUUUUUAACUUGAGAUGUUCUAGAAUUGAUAUCUUCCUUGCGUCUGUGUGCACUUUCCAAACAUGCACUGAGCAUUUGCUGCAAAAAAUGAAACCAGCGGUUCA
This is a long non-coding RNA of Dunckerocampus dactyliophorus (ringed pipefish), 6516 nucleotides long. RefSeq lists it as uncharacterized. The transcript is spliced from 3 exons. The record is from RefSeq and is a predicted model, not a curated record. NCBI's taxonomy places the organism in Eukaryota, Metazoa, Chordata, Actinopteri, Syngnathiformes, Syngnathidae.